GUGAACAGAGCUCACACAGCGCCUAACGUGUGACAGCAUUCAUAAAUGUAAGCCAAAUGGAAUGACAAGCCCUAUUUAUCUCAGCAAAUUCUAACAGCAUGGGAGAAGUUCGUAACAAAAGAAUCCCUGCCUACCCAGAAAAGGCAGGUGGUCUGCUCCAAUUUUCAUUAGAACACAUGCUGAAGUGCCAUUAACUAGAAACCUUAGAUGAGGAAGACUGAAAUUAUCCACAGUACUGAGGUACAGGGUUAACAUAAAAAAGGACAUUCACAAUAAAAACCUCAGGAAUGUUAACUGCUAAUAG
This 304-nucleotide long non-coding RNA is filed under the name Bos taurus (domestic cattle). Its description in RNAcentral is "long non-coding RNA NONBTAT021625". Lineage: Eukaryota; Metazoa; Chordata; Mammalia; Artiodactyla; Bovidae. The record is from RNAcentral.